GUGCUGCAUCUACCAUAAUCUCUUCUCUUUCAAUUAACUGAAAGGUUUUAUCAUUUUUUUUUUCCUUUCUGAAAAAGGUAAUAUCUGGCACAGUCUGAUGCAGUUAUUGUAAGUAGACAUGAUCUGGUACAACGAUGUUAGCGUUCCACUAAAAGUGAACCGGAAGUAGACAUGAUUUGGUGGAAACUGCAUCAGAAACUGUGAGGUAUGUUCUUGUAGAGGCAAUCUUAUUUGUAGAGGCAAUCUUAUUUUAUUUCUUUUAUAGGAGAAGUCUGUGAUUGUUACCAAAUUUCAAAGGGUUGUGUUCCUUUUGUAUUACAAGGGGGCCGCAGAGAUGCGGGACAAGGGUGCUGCUUUAGGAAAUCUAUGUUUUGAGCACAAGUUGAGCGCGUGGAGUAAUGGUAACUCAAUAACAAAAUUGUAGGCCAGAGUGGCUUUUUCAUGUGCAUGGAGCAAUCAACGACAUAAUCCUAUGUUAAAUAUGGACUUAGACACAAAGUACAUUGUGUGAUUCCGUAAAGAAAAGAUUUGAUGGUAGGA
Molecule: long non-coding RNA, 540 nt
Filed under: Elaeis guineensis (African oil palm)
Lineage: Eukaryota; Viridiplantae; Streptophyta; Magnoliopsida; Arecales; Arecaceae
Description: long non-coding RNA (EGUI_LNC018964)
Source: RNAcentral